RNAcentral lists this ribosomal RNA (735 nucleotides) under uncultured Fusobacterium sp. RNAcentral's name for it is "bacterial SSU rRNA". It matches the Rfam family "Bacterial small subunit ribosomal RNA", at positions 28 to 776 of the family's 1533-position model. Lineage: Bacteria; Fusobacteriati; Fusobacteriota; Fusobacteriia; Fusobacteriales; Fusobacteriaceae. The record is from RNAcentral.
GAUGAACGCUGACAGAAUGCUUAACACAUGCAAGUCAACUUGAAUUUGGGUUUUUAACUUAGAUUUGGGUGGCGGACGGGUGAGUAACGCGUAAAGAACUUGCCUCACAGCUAGGGACAACAUUUAGAAAUGAAUGCUAAUACCUGAUAUUAUGAUUUUAAGGCAUCUUAGAAUUAUGAAAGCUAUAAGCACUGUGAGAGAGCUUUGCGUCCCAUUAGCUAGUUGGAGAGGUAACAGCUCACCAAGGCGAUGAUGGGUAGCCGGCCUGAGAGGGUGAACGGCCACAAGGGGACUGAGACACGGCCCUUACUCCUACGGGAGGCAGCAGUGGGGAAUAUUGGACAAUGGACCGAGAGUCUGAUCCAGCAAUUCUGUGUGCACGAUGAAGUCUUUCGGAAUGUAAAGUGCUUUCAGUUGGGAAGAAAAAAAUGACGGUACCAACAGAAGAAGUGACGGCUAAAUACGUGCCAGCAGCCGCGGUAAUACGUAUGUCACGAGCGUUAUCCGGAUUUAUUGGGCGUAAAGCGCGUCUAGGUGGUUAUGUAAGUCUGAUGUGAAAAUGCAGGGCUCAACUCUGUAUUGCGUUGGAAACUGUAUAACUAGAGUACUGGAGAGGUAAGCGGAACUACAAGUGUAGAGGUGAAAUUCGUAGAUAUUUGUAGGAAUGCCGAUGGGGAAGCCAGCUUACUGGACAGAUACUGACGCUAAAGCGCGAAAGCGUGGGUAGCAAACAGG